CGGAUUAAACUGCUUUCGGUUCAUCCCGCAGCGCCAGUUCUGCUUACCAAAAGUAGCCCACUAGGCGUCUCGCAUUCCACGCCCAUAGUCCAAGAGGGUUAGA
Sinocyclocheilus anshuiensis is the source of this 103-nucleotide long non-coding RNA. RefSeq lists it as uncharacterized. The record is from RefSeq and is a predicted model, not a curated record. NCBI's taxonomy places the organism in Eukaryota, Metazoa, Chordata, Actinopteri, Cypriniformes, Cyprinidae. The transcript is spliced from 4 exons.